CCUACGGGAGGCAGCAGUGGGGAAUAUUGGGCAAUGGGCGCAAGCCUGACCCAGCAACGCCGCGUGAAGGAAGAAGGCUUUCGGGUUGUAAACUUCUUUUCUCAGGGACGAAGCAAGUGACGGUACCUGACGAAUAAGCCAUGGCUAACUACGUGCCAGCAGCCGCGGUAAUACGUCGGUGGCAAGCGUUAUCCGGAUUUACUGGGUGUAAAGGGCGUGUAGGCGGGAAAGCAAGUCAGAUGUGAAAACCAUGGGCUCAACCUGUGGCCUGCAUUUGAAACUGUUUUUCUUGAGUACUGGAGAGGCAGACGGAAUUCGUAGUGUAGCGGUGAAAUGCGUAGAUAUUAGGAAGAACACCAGUGGCGAAGGCGGUCUGCUGGACAGCAACUGACGCUGAGGCGCGAAAGCGUGGGGAGCAAACAGGAUUAGAUACCCUUGUAGUC
RNAcentral lists this ribosomal RNA (443 nucleotides) under uncultured bacterium. Its description in RNAcentral is "partial 16S ribosomal RNA". It matches the Rfam family "Bacterial small subunit ribosomal RNA", at positions 338 to 795 of the family's 1533-position model. The record is from RNAcentral.